This 2479-nucleotide long non-coding RNA is filed under the name Homo sapiens (human). Its description in RNAcentral is "HSALNT0356863". The record is from RNAcentral. Lineage: Eukaryota; Metazoa; Chordata; Mammalia; Primates; Hominidae.
UUUUUCUCUCUCCUGGUGUGAGUCUUCUCUUUCGUGUAGCCUACAUAUUCUUAGUUUACUCCCUCACUCUGGUGAGGUCAUGAUACAACGUCUUUCUAUGUUUCCCAGGCUGGUGUCAAACUACUGGGCUCAAGUGAUCCUCUCACCUCAGCCUUCCAAAGUGCUGAAACUACAAAUGGGAGCCACCAGGCCAGGUCUUGAAUAACUUUUGUUGCUGACCUUUUGGAAAAUUGACAGACUCCACUCACACCAUCCCCAUCCAUUCUCCCACCAUCUGCCUUCCUUCCAAGCUUAAAGAGACGGAUAUCUACCUACAAGGCAAAUCCAAUCAACCAUUAUCCUCCAAUUGCCAGACCCUGCUAGUGGCACAUCCAUCAGUACAUGAACUGAAUAUGUCACAGAGUGUAUCAAAGCUAAGGUAGGUGCCUGUCCCACCAUCAGUUGAAUGAGAAGGUUUCUGAUAUCAGAAAUUGGGCUACCCUGCUUUGCCAAGACUCUCUUUUCCAAUCUCUCAAAGGCAGAUAAUAACACUAAUGGACAAUGUGGCCAUGAGCAUUAAAACAAAUCAUUAGGCUGGAGGCUUCUCAUCAGUGCUUGAGGGCAAUUUCACCACCUGGGGCUUUCCGAGAAGGCUUUUGAAGGCUCUGAAACAUGCUCAGUCUGCAGGAGUAUGCAGGCACCCACCGUGCCCCAAGAUAUGGACUGUGGAGCGUUCAUUGUCUCAACAAUUACUCACUGCAAGGAUAGGGAAAUUUGGCGACCUCAACCUGUCCAAGUCUUCAGGAUCUGCUGCUGCCACUGUUCACUGCAAUUCCUUAGGUUUAGCUUAAUUGGCGCCAUUGGGAACAUGUAGAAAUUCAUUUUAGAGAGUGCUACCUUGAUGACUUAACGGUCUUACAAUAGUAGGCAGAGACAGAAAGGGAAAAUGAACCGGUUCUCUGGAUUUAUUCUAGUCAAACACAGAGCCAGGCUGAACAGGGCUUUUGCUGCUCCAUCUUUGAGUUCCUGGGCAACUAUGUGGCUCCCUGAGCUUUUGUUAAGAAAAGCAGAAGCACCAGGGCACCCAGAUCCUGACGGCAUGUGGUAGGUGGAGAUUGCUCUCCUGCCCUGCAAGUUGGGCAAAUAGGAUGAAAAUUUCUGCACGUUUGAAGCAGAAAGAACAAAGAACAGAGACAGAUGGGGAGUGGAGCAAGAUGGUGGAAUAUGACUCUGUAGUGAUCAUCCACCCACAGAAACAUCAACUUGAGUAACUAUUCACAUGCAAAAAACCUUCACAAGAGCUAAGGAAACUAGAGGAUGCAGCACUCAAGGCACCACCUUGGGAGCAGAGAUCAGGCCCUCACCAGACACCAAACUUGUUGGUGCCUUGAUCUUUGACUUCCCAGCCUCCAGAACUGUGAAUUCCUGUAACACAAUCUUCACUUAUGUUUUUAUUAACACGUAAAACAUCUUUACCUCCACUGUCUUCUCUUCAUAAAAAGAGCUAAACACGUACACCUGGCCCAGGAGUCAGAAAAGCUGAAGCCAAACUGGGAAGGUAGAUCAAUUUCAGGCCCACAUGCUGCUUCAGGCUAAUGUGGUGAAUUACGCCAUCAGCAACAGGGAUCAGCUGCAAAAUGGCCACUGCCUGCCUUCUGCCUUCUAAAUCUCAAAAUGGCCACUGCCUUCCUUCUCCACUCCAAAUCAGAAUUGGGCCUUUGGGCCACAGGAUAUAAGUCUGACCUCCAGAGAGACAAGAAGAGGGUGCUGGAAGUUGAGUUCAGCUAUGUGGUCAAUGAUUAAGUCAUGCCUAUGUAAGAAAACCGCAAUAAUCACUCUGGACACUAAAGUUCAGAUAAACACUACAGAUUGCUACAGAUGAAUGCUACUGACAUGCUAAAGACUAUAUGACAAUUCCUUUUAAAGUCAGACACUCAAUUGUGAAAGAUGUGUGAACAAUCCAAUGAUGGAUGUCCGUUAGUUCAGUGCUGUCAAGCUGAGUUACUACUCCACAUCUCUGAUACUGAUGCUGUUUUUGCAGUCAUGAUUGAGUCGUUGAAGAAAAAAGCACUCUACAGAGUUCUGCCCAACUGUGUCCAAACAAGCAGCAACUUGAAAUAUCAUUGGCUUACUCAGCAGCAUCAGAACCCACAAAGCAAAGAGGUUAGAUCCAUCCAAGAGACUUUUCUGCAGCAGUAAAUGGAUUUGCCCUCUUUAGAGCAGGGAGCACAGCUCCAACACAAUUAUUCUUAUUGGAACAGACUAAGGAAUUUACUUCAAAUGAGGUUGUUGGUUGUCCUGUGAAAGCUGUGUCAGAAUAAAUAUUCAACUGCUCUUUGGAGGCAUAAUUUGUUAGCCCGUGAAUCAUUUGUGACCCAUGAGCUGCAUAUAGCUGACUUUGUUUAAAUGGAGGGAAAACUUCUUUCAUUCUAGCAAAACUUGUAUAAAGCUCAGGUAUAGAGAAAACACUUUAACGUUCAGUUCUUUCCAAAGGGGCCAU